UACGAAGGGGGCAAGCGUUGUUCGGAAUUACUGGGCGUAAAGGGCGCGUAGGCGGCUUAUCAAGUCAGGCGUGAAAUUCCCGGGCUCAACCUGGGGGCUGCGCUUGAUACUGAUGAGCUUGAAUGCGGGAGAGGAUAGUGGAAUUCCCAGUGUAGAGGUGAAAUUCGUAGAUAUUGUGAAGAACACCGGUGGCGAAGGCGGCUAUCUGGCCCGUAAUUGACGCUGAGGCGCGAAAGCGUGGGGAGCAAACAGG
This 253-nucleotide ribosomal RNA is filed under the name uncultured bacterium. RNAcentral describes it as "partial 16S ribosomal RNA". It matches the Rfam family "Bacterial small subunit ribosomal RNA", at positions 524 to 776 of the family's 1533-position model. The record is from RNAcentral.